GGGGAAGGGUAGCUUGCUACCUGACCUAGCGGCGGACGGGUGAGUAAUGCUUAGGAAUCUGCCUAUUAGUGGGGGACAACAUUCCGAAAGGAAUGCUAAUACCGCAUACGCCCUACGGGGGAAAGCAGGGGAUCUUCGGACCUUGCGCUAAUAGAUGAGCCUAAGUCAGAUUAGCUAGUUGGUGGGGUAAAGGCCUACCAAGGCGACGAUCUGUAGCGGGUCUGAGAGGAUGAUCCGCCACACUGGGACUGAGACACGGCCCAGACUCCUACGGGAGGCAGCAGUGGGGAAUAUUGGACAAUGGGCGAAAGCCUGAUCCAGCCAUGCCGCGUGUGUGAAGAAGGCCUUUUGGUUGUAAAGCACUUUAAGCGAGGAGGAGGCUACUGAGAUUAAUACUCUUGGAUAGUGGACGUUACUCGCAGAAUAAGCACCGGCUAACUUUGUGCCAGCAGCCGCGGUAAUACAGAGGGUGCGAGCGUUUAUUGGAUUUACUGGGCCGU
This 500-nucleotide ribosomal RNA is filed under the name uncultured bacterium. RNAcentral's name for it is "bacterial SSU rRNA". It matches the Rfam family "Bacterial small subunit ribosomal RNA", at positions 68 to 562 of the family's 1533-position model. The record is from RNAcentral.